GGUCGGGCAGUCUGUCUAGAGUCCCCAGCAUGGCCUCUGGGAAAGGACGAGGAGCACCUGCGAUCCCCUUAGCCAGUGGCUUUACACAUCCCCAACCUAGGACAGGGCUCCAUCCACCCUUUGCACUUCACAUUCAAUACACUCUUCAUGACUGAUUCUAUCCAGUUUCAUUACAUCCAUCCAUUCUUCAUACCAUAAACAAAAAUUAAUUCAAAUGGAUCAUAGAUGUACAUAUAAACUAUAUGGAAAACAAAACAAUAAAACUUCCUAGAGAGAGAAUAGGAGAAAAUAUUUGUGAUCUUAUUUAGGCAAAGACUCCUCAGGUGCAACACCAGAAGCAUGAUGUAGAAAAGAAAAAUUGAGAAAUUGAAGUUCAGAGAGAUAAAACAUAUGUUCUUCAAAAGACAUUGUUGAAGCCACACACUGGAAGAAAACAUUUGCAAAACAUGUAUCCGGUAAAGGAUUUGUAUCAGGAAUGCAUAAAUAACUCUCAAAAGGUAAAAAUAAGAAAACAACUUAAUUUUUUAAGUAGGCAAAGAAUUUGAAAAAGAAUCUCCCAGAGAAUAAGGUAAACAGAUCCCCAAAGAGGAUACACUAACAUCAAAUAAGCCACAUCAUUAGACAUUAGGAAAAUAAAAAUUAAAACCACGGUGAGAAUCUAGUAUAUUCCUAUUAGAAUGGCUGAAAUUGGAGGACCUGGGUGGCUCAGUCAGUCAAGCAUCUGACUUAUCAGUCAAGUAUCCGACUUUGUCUCAGGUCAUGAUCUCACAGUUUGUGAGUUCAAGCCCCCCGCAUCUGCAUCCGGUUUGCUGCUGUCAGCACAGAGCCCACUUGAGAUCCUCUGCCCCCCUCACUCUGUGACCCUCUGUCUCUCUCUCUCUCUCUCAAAAAUAAAAACAGUAAUAAAAGAAUGGCUACAAUUAAAAGCAAAAACAAAAUAAAACCCUGAAUAUUCACUCUCAAUAAUUUUGGGUAUCUCUAGUAUUUUGCUGACUCAGAUUUUAAUCUCCCAUUUAGACCUCCCCUUCAGCCUCCUAUAUUUAACUUUCUGCUGGAAAUCACCUAGAUAACCCAGAGACAUAUCACAUUCAAAGCUGAAUCCAUCUUCUUCCCUUUCAACUUGGCUUUCCUUCUGUAUUAUCUACUUUGGAUGGAAGGCAUUAUCAACUACAGACUUAUGCAAGCCAGACACGUGGAAGUUACCCCCCAUUCAGUCUAACAUAUCUGCCUCUCUUGGUAGAAACCUUACCUACUGUCGCAGUCUUUCUUUAGGUCUUCAUGUCACUCCUGCAGCUGGUCACCAUGUCUCCCGCACAUUCAUACUUCUAGGAGCCAGAGAGAUCUAGCUAGGAUACAAUCUGAAAAUGUCAUUCCCUUCUAAAAGUCCUUUUGAGGCCAAGAAAAAGUCCAGGCUCUUCAAAAUAUCCCACAGGAUCAUCCCUGGAAUGACCUCUGCCUACCUCUCUCUAGCCUCAUGUCUCUCCACUCCAUACCACGAGCUUUUACUCUGGCACUACUCUUCUGUGCCCACAACAUUCUCCCUUUGUGCCUCUGUGACUUUAGUCAGGCUGCCACCUCUGCAUUGAAUAUUCUCUCCCAUUCUCUCCUAUCUAGGCCACUGCUCACUCUUUAAGACUAAGUUUAGGAGUCCUUCCCAGAGAUCCCUGAGGUAGGGUUGAAUAUCUCCUUGUAAUUACAAUAAUACUGUAUGCAUAUACUUAUCAAUCAACUUAAGUGUUUUAUAAUUGUCCAUUUGUGUAUCUUCCUUAACCAAACCAUCAAUUUCAUAAAGUUAGGGCCUGUAUCUUAUAUUACACAAUUACACAAUUGUAUCUUAUAUUACACAGUUACCCAAGGUACACUUAGUGCAGUGUCUGUCACAUAGUAGGUAUUCAGUAAAUAAUUAUUAAAUAGAUCAUUUAUGUAUACACUAGUAGCUGAGCAAUUUCUUUGAAUUAUGGUGUAGUUUCCUAUCUUUAUGAAAUAAAUGCAGGGUGUGGUAUAUUUUAGAUGACUCCCAAAAAGUCGUUGAUGGAAUGUCAAACAAAAACAAUGCCUCACUUAUGCCACUUCAGAAAGUUAUUUACGUUAAAAGGUUUAUGACACAGUUCACAUAUACUUCAUAUGCACCCUGUUGAGUAGGUAAGCUUUCCAAUGUACUGAUCAUGUUUUUGUUGUCAGAUUUGCUUUGGGUAAUUCCAGGUAGAUUUACAGUGAAAAGGCAAUGUCAAAAGGAAUAAUUAAUCAAAAGGAAGGUGUUGUCUAUCUCCUUUUAGGAAAUCUGUAUUGAAAAUGAAGUUAUUCUGGGUAGGUAAGGAAAUAUUCUUUUUAGAUAUGGAAGCAAUUUCAGUUUUUGCUCUUCAGAAUUCAGUCAAAGGAACUGCUUUCCCUAUAGAAUUCUUAAACCUUUUUACCUGCCUUCAUUUCUCAAUAAGAGUGUAAAUUUAGGAACUUUUCUGGAGAUAAAGUAAAGGUGUUAUGCAAAUCUCUGCAACUCAACAAAUAUAACCAGCAAACUCUUGCUGUUCUUUUUUUGCAGAAUUAUUCUGUGUGAUUUGGACAUUUCUCUCUUACCAUUUAAAACAGUUUCAAAUGUGAUUGCAUUUCCCUCAAUAAUUUAUUAUUAAAAACUUCAAACACUUAGAAAAGUUGAAACAGUUUUAUAAUAAACAUCCAUAUAGUCACCUCUUAGGUUUGUUCUAUAGUUGUUAACAUUGUGCUGUAUUUGUUUUAUCACAUGUUUAUCCAUUCAUCCAUCCAUCAACCCAUCUUAUUUUUUGAUGCAUUUCCAAGGGAGUUGCAGACGUAAGUACACAUAUUGAUUGCAUUUUGCAUGAAAGAUAACCCCCUCAUCUAGGUAAACAGAUUAACAAAACAUAGCUUAUUUUGAUGAUAACGAAAGCAGUUAGUCAGAAUACAUAUUUAUAAUGCCAUUGCAAGUUUGAAUCUCACAUCUGGGGGGGGAAGGCAGGGGGAUGGUUAUAAAGAACUGUGAUUCUAGGGCUUAAAAAAAAAAAGAAAAGGAUGAAAUGAAAGCCUUUUUAGUUUUAGUUUAAAGAAUAACAAGGAUAGGGGCACAUGGGUAGCUCAGUUGGUUAAGCAUCAGACUUCAGCUCAGGUCAUGAUCUCUCAGUCUGAGUUUGAGCCCCGCAUCAGGCUCUGUGCUGACAGCGCAGAGCCUGGAGCCUGCUUCAGAUUCUGUGUCUCCCUCUCUCUCUGCCCCUUUCCCACUUGUACUCUCUCUCAAAAAUAAACAUUAAAAAGAAAUAAAAAAAAAAAGAAUAA
Molecule: long non-coding RNA, 3285 nt
Organism: Neofelis nebulosa (Clouded leopard)
Lineage: Eukaryota; Metazoa; Chordata; Mammalia; Carnivora; Felidae
Exons: 2
Source: RefSeq, a predicted model, not a curated record